RNAcentral lists this ribosomal RNA (402 nucleotides) under uncultured Acidobacteriota bacterium. RNAcentral describes it as "uncultured Acidobacteria bacterium partial 16S ribosomal RNA". It matches the Rfam family "Bacterial small subunit ribosomal RNA", at positions 355 to 774 of the family's 1533-position model. Lineage: Bacteria; Pseudomonadati; Acidobacteriota. The record is from RNAcentral.
UGGGGAAUCUUGCACAAUGGGGGAAACCCUGAUGCAGCGACGCCGCGUGAGCGAUGAAGCCCUUCGGGGUGUAAAGCUCUUUCGGCAGGGACGAUUAUGACGGUACCUGCAGAAGAAGCUGCGGCUAACUACGUGCCAGCAGCCGCGGUAAUACGUAGGCAGCAAGCGUUGUUCGGAAUUACUGGGCGUAAAGGGUGCGUAGGCGGUUGGGCAAGUCUGUUGUGAAAUCUCCCGGCUUAACUGGGAGGGUGCGGUGGAAACUGCUCGACUAGAGUGUGGGAGAGGAAAGUGGAAUUCCUGGUGUAGCGGUGAAAUGCGUAGAUAUCAGGAGGAACACCUGCGGUGUAGACGGCUUUCUGGACCACUACUGACGCUGAGGCACGAAAGCGUGGGGAGCAAACA